UACAGAGGUCCCGAGCGAUGUUCGGAUUCAUUGGGCGUAAAGGGUGCGUAGGCGGCUUACUAAGUUUGAUGUGAAAUCCCGGGGCUCAACCCUGGAAUUGCAUUGAAUACUGGCAGGCUAGAGUACUGGAGAGGAAACUGGAAUUUACGGUGUAGCAGUGAAAUGCGUAGAGAUCGUAAGGAAGACCAGUGGCGAAGGCGAGUUUCUGGACAGUAACUGACGCUGAGGCACGAAGGCUAGGGGAGCAAACGGG
RNAcentral lists this ribosomal RNA (253 nucleotides) under uncultured bacterium. RNAcentral's name for it is "partial 16S ribosomal RNA". It matches the Rfam family "Bacterial small subunit ribosomal RNA", at positions 524 to 776 of the family's 1533-position model. The record is from RNAcentral.